UAAACAGGCAAUUUCGGUCCCGGACGCAGCACUGGAAGAAGCACUUUACUUUCAUCUUUUAUAGCUUUAUUUACUUUUAUUAUGUUAUUUUUGGCGGAGGCGCGUAAGGCGCGUGUCCGUCCCUCGAAUGCUUUGUGAUCACGUGAUUAUUCAAACGGGAGACGCGCGAUCUGGAUUAACCGCUAUUCUCCUCAGACGAGUGAUGACCUCUGUGGUAUUAUGAGAUCCCUUUCUUGGUGUGUCUUGAUGUUUUAUAUUGGCUAAAGACAAGAUAUGUCUGCAAAUGCCGGUUCCAUGUCACAUGGCUUAUUCGAGACAAGAUCCACAAAAAACUCUGCAGAUUUUGUUACCAUCAACUUGCAUUAUACAACUGACAGACUGAAACGGUUGGACACAAAAAUCUACAUUUGUGUUCCACUGGAGAAACAAAGUCACCUACAUCUUGGAUGGCCUGGGGACUACCUGACCUGUUCCUGUUAAGAGCUAGUCACUCUUUGUGGAAUGUUCCUGGCCCAUUUUUUUCCACAUUUUUACAAAAGUUUUUUCAAUGACCUCAAAAUUGAUGUGUAAAAAUAAUAAUAAACUUGAAUUUGUUUAAAUAUG
Molecule: non-coding RNA, 603 nt
Organism: Misgurnus anguillicaudatus (oriental weatherfish)
Lineage: Eukaryota; Metazoa; Chordata; Actinopteri; Cypriniformes; Cobitidae
Source: RefSeq, a predicted model, not a curated record